GGGGAUUAGCUCAGCUGGCUAGAGCGCCUGCCUUGCAC
This 38-nucleotide transfer RNA is filed under the name Flavobacterium columnare. RNAcentral's name for it is "partial tRNA-Ala". The record is from RNAcentral. Lineage: Bacteria; Pseudomonadati; Bacteroidota; Flavobacteriia; Flavobacteriales; Flavobacteriaceae.